GCAUAUCAAUAAGCGGAGGAAAAGAAACCAACAGGGAUUGCCCUAGUAACGGCGAGUGAAGCGGCAACAGCUCAAAUUUGAAAUCUGGCCUCGGCCCGAGUUGUAAUUUGCAGAGGAUGCUUCUGGCGCGGUGCCUUCCGAGUUCCCUGGAACGGGACGCCACAGAGGGUGAGAGCCCCGUAUGGUCGGACACCAAACCUGUGUGAAGCUCCUUCGACGAGUCGAGUAGUUUGGGAAUGCUGCUCUAAAUGGGAGGUAAAUCUCUUCUAAAGCUAAAUACCGGCCAGAGACCGAUAGCGCACAAGUAGAGUGAUCGAAAGAUGAAAAGCACCUUGAAAAGGGGGUUAAAUAGUACGUGAAAUUGUUGAAAGGGAAGCACUUGUGACCAGACUUGGGCCGGGCGGCUCAUCAGGGGUUCUCCCCUGUGCACUCCGCCCGGCACAGGCCAGCAUCGGUUCUCGUGGGGGGAUAAGACCGUCAGGAACGUAGCACCCUCCGGGGUGUGUUAUAGCCUGGCGGACGAUACCCCCGUGGGGACCGAGGUUCGCGCUCCGCAAGGAUGCUGGCGUAAUGGUCACCAGUGACCCGUCUUGAAACACGGACC
Molecule: ribosomal RNA, 604 nt
Filed under: uncultured fungus
Lineage: Eukaryota; Fungi
Description: LSU rRNA
Rfam family: Eukaryotic large subunit ribosomal RNA
Source: RNAcentral